UACGAAGGGGGCGAGCGUUGUUCGGAUUUACUGGGCGUAAAGGGCGCGUAGGCGCCUUGUCAGUCAGGCGUGAAAGCCCCGGGCUCAACCUGGGAACGGCGCUUGGGACGGCGAGGCUGGAGUUCGGGAGAGGAGAGUGGAAUUCCCAGUGUAGAGGUGAAAUUCGUAGAUAUUCGCAAGAACACCAGUGGCGAAGGCGGCUCACUGGCCCGAUACUGACGCUGAGGUGCGAAAGCGUGGGGAGCAAACAGGG
RNAcentral lists this ribosomal RNA (253 nucleotides) under uncultured bacterium. RNAcentral's name for it is "partial 16S ribosomal RNA". It matches the Rfam family "Bacterial small subunit ribosomal RNA", at positions 524 to 777 of the family's 1533-position model. The record is from RNAcentral.